CUACGGGUCGCAGCAGUGGGGAAUAUUGCACAAUGGGGGAAACCCUGAUGCAGCAACGCCGCGUGGAGGAUGACGCAUUUCGGUGUGUAAACUCCUUUUAUAUAGGAAGAUAAUGACGGUACUAUAUGAAUAAGCACCGACUAACUCCGUGCCAGCAGCCGCGGUAAUACGGAGGGUGCAAGCGUUACUCGGAAUCACUGGGCGUAAAGCGCGCGCAGGCGGCCUUUUAAGUUGGAUGUGAAAGCCUAUGGCUUAACCAUAGAACUGCAUCCAAAACUAUCAGGCUAGAGUCUGGGAGGGGAAGAUGGAAUUAGUUGUGUAGGGGUAAAAUCCGUAGAGAUAACUAGGAAGACCAAAAGCGAAGGCGAUCUUCUGGAACAGUACGUACGCUGAGGCGCGAAAGCGUGGGGAGCAAACAGGAUUAGAUACCCUAGUAGUC
Molecule: ribosomal RNA, 439 nt
Filed under: uncultured bacterium
Lineage: Bacteria
Description: partial 16S ribosomal RNA
Rfam family: Bacterial small subunit ribosomal RNA
Source: RNAcentral